Molecule: long non-coding RNA, 1173 nt
Filed under: Bos taurus (domestic cattle)
Lineage: Eukaryota; Metazoa; Chordata; Mammalia; Artiodactyla; Bovidae
Description: long non-coding RNA NONBTAT024333
Source: RNAcentral
GCAUCAUCUCUACAAAUGCUCGUUGAAAUUUAUAAGCCUUUGUGCCUUGACCUAAGAUUCUCUUAUUAAUUCCACUAUUUUUGUUGUAUGGAAGGAGCUUAUUCCAUCAUCAGUAAGUAGACCAUUCAUAGGCAACCUGGGGUCUUUUCAUAGAGCCAGAGAUGACUUCUAAGUGUCUCCAGUGUGUGUAGAUUUUGAGUCCAAGCAAACAUAUUCUAAUUCCAAAAACCAUUUUAUAACCCAAACUCUUAGCAGCAGCAGGAAUGACUCACAGUGAGGAAAGACUAGCUGCUAAACUUUUACCUCAAAAAAGAUGAAGCCCUAGGAAAAUGAAGCUUCUAAGGAGAACUAGAAGACACAGUAAAGGUUCAAGGGAGAUGGAGGAAGAUAAGCCAAUGAAAAAGACAGAAUGGUUACAGAGGCAGGAGAAUAACUGUUACAGAGGCAGAGAGGUACAUCAGCCCAAAGAAAGACAAGUGACCUCAAAUGCUGUGUAUGGAGACCAACAAGAUGUCCCUGGAUAGAACAAUUACUAGGGAGGUCACUGGGCACCCCUGAGGACAGUUUUCAAUAGGGCUGGUCCAGGAUGCAGACGGAAAAGGAUUGAGAAGAAGCUGGGCGAGCAAAUGGAAACAAGGAGAGACUUUCCUGUCAAGAAUUGUGGUUAUCGAGCCAAAGGGGUUAUGCUGGUCAUUUUCUACCCUGAAGUUUACUUAACAGUCUGAUAAAAACGCUCAUUCUUAUUUCCUUGCUCUAUGCCUUUCCAUAUACACAGAGGUUGGCUACUGAAAAUAAUUUAAUGCAAAUCCUUCCAGACUCUCUCUCCUGACACCACUCUUGUGUGCCUGAUUGUGGUUCUCUAAGAAACCUUAGAGAACCAUUCAACAGCUAUAUGCUAUCAAGUCUGAAUGUCUAAAUUUUAUUUUCCUGCUCGAGAUAAAUGAUAGUUAUUCAUUUAACAAAGAAAAGGCAAUGUAUCAGAUACACUGAAAUGUAUCAGAUCAACACAGCAAAAGUCCAGAUUCAAGUCAGAUAUCAUAUGACUUACCUUUGGGUAACCUACAUAAUAUAUGCUAACUUGUCAAAAAGAUAACUUUAAAUAUUUCUUUCUUUAAGGGUCUUUACCAAAAGUUUAUAAAAAUCAAAUAUGAAUAACAAAGAAAAUUUAAGCAC